Dicentrarchus labrax (European seabass) is the source of this 890-nucleotide long non-coding RNA. RefSeq lists it as uncharacterized. Lineage: Eukaryota; Metazoa; Chordata; Actinopteri; Moronidae. The record is from RefSeq and is a predicted model, not a curated record. The transcript is spliced from 2 exons.
CUUAAAGCCAUGAUCACAUUACGUGAUCUUGAAGGUGUUGUGGUUUUCACACUACGUGACUGAUCAGCAGCAGCGGGUCACACACUGAUGUCGAUGCUGUUAGUUAUAAAUUUGAAAAAUGGUUAAAUAAUGUGUGUAUUGAUGACAUGAUUACAACAUUAAACAUGUUGUGAUGUUAUUAAUGGUGUUAUAAAUGACUCCUGAUGAAACAUAGUUUGGACCAGUCAGACUGGUUGUGGAAGUUGUAUGUGAGCCCAUGUUAUUGAUCAGUCACGUAGUAUGAAAACCACAAUGAAGCCUGGCUGUGCUGACAAGAAACACGAACUUCCUGUUUCUCAGCAUCAGAAUAAAACAGAAGCAAGAAAACGUUUUUUAUAUCAGUGAAAAUACCUUUCUGCUUAUGAGAAGUUGCUCAGUGUGUGAAUCAGGAGACAAGGGUUGUUAACGAAAUAGUCAGUUCACAGCUCUAGAGAAGUUCCUCAACUGAUAGUUUGACAUCCUGUGAACUUGCUAAAAGUUAAACAUGGCUACAUUUGAGCGAAUCGAAAAAUUGCUGAAACAUUACCUGGAUGAGCUGGAUGAGGAACAGCUGAAGACGUUUCAGUGGUACUUGGGCCAUAAUAGAAGAGAUGGAAGGAGACCCAUCCCAAAGGCCCAGCUGACCAGAGAACAAACUGUGGAUAAACUGGUGGAAGUUUAUGGGGAAGAAGACGCUGUGGUGACGACAGUGGACAUUUUCUUUAGGAUGAAUCUUAAUGACCUUGCAAUUAAGUUAAUCCAAGGUAAUGGUUAAAUAAAAGGAAAAUCAAGUACGUUAAAUGCACAACAUUCAUGAAUAAGAGAAAACAUAAUAAUGUCACAUGUGAAAAUUAAAAAAGUGUUAAAUAUAA